CGUACACUCCUGCGGGAGGCAGCAGUGGGGAAUAUUGGACAAUGGGCGCAAGCCUGAUCCAGCCAUGCCGCGUGAGUGAUGAAGGCCCUAGGGUUGUAAAGCUCUUUCACCGGUGAAGAUAAUGACGGUAACCGGAGAAGAAGCCCCGGCUAACUUCGUGCCAGCAGCCGCGGUAAUACGAAGGGGGCUAGCGUUGUUCGGAUUUACUGGGCGUAAAGCGCACGUAGGCGGACUAUUAAGUCAGGGGUGAAAUCCCGGGGCUCAACCCCGGAACUGCCUUUGAUACUGGUAGUCUUGAGUUCGAGAGAGGUGAGUGGAAUUCCGAGUGUAGAGGUGAAAUUCGUAGAUAUUCGGAGGAACACCAGUGGCGAAGGCGGCUCACUGGCUCGAUACUGACGCUGAGGUGCGAAAGCGUGGGGAGCAAACAGGAUUAGAAACCCGGGUAGUCCCAUGAU
This 455-nucleotide ribosomal RNA is filed under the name uncultured organism. RNAcentral's name for it is "partial 16S ribosomal RNA". It matches the Rfam family "Bacterial small subunit ribosomal RNA", at positions 330 to 801 of the family's 1533-position model. The record is from RNAcentral.